Molecule: ribosomal RNA, 550 nt
Filed under: Macaca mulatta (Rhesus monkey)
Lineage: Eukaryota; Metazoa; Chordata; Mammalia; Primates; Cercopithecidae
Description: partial large subunit ribosomal RNA
Rfam family: Bacterial large subunit ribosomal RNA
Source: RNAcentral
CACCUCUAGCAUUACUAGUAUUAGAGGCACUGCCUGCCCAGUGACGCACGUUUAACGGCCGCGGUACCUUGACCGUGCAAAGGUAGCAUAAUCACUUGUUCUUUAAAUAGGGACUCGCAUGAAUGGCAACACGAGGGUUUAACUGUCUCUUACUUUCAACCAGUGAAAUUGACCUGUCCGUGAAGAGGCGGAUAUAUAAUAAUAAGACGAGAAGACCCUAUGGAGCUUUAAUUUAUUAAUGCAACCAAGAAUCAUACAAACCUACGGAUUUUUAAAUCUCUACACCUGCAUUAAAAAUUUUGGUUGGGGUGACCUCGGAGCACAACCAAACCUCCGAAGAAUCCAUGCCGAGACCACACAAGCCAAAGUGAACUAACAUUUACAAUUGAUCCAAUAAUUUGAUCAGCGGAACAAGUUACCCUAGGGAUAACAGCGCAAUUCUAUUCUAGAGUCCAUAUCGACAACAGAGUUUACGACCUCGAUGUUGGAUCAGGACAUCCUAAUGGUGCAGCAGCUAUCAAGGGUUCGUUUGUUCAACGAUUAAAGUCCU